This 670-nucleotide long non-coding RNA is filed under the name Anas platyrhynchos platyrhynchos (common mallard). RNAcentral describes it as "lncRNA (ENSAPLG00000028011.1)". The record is from RNAcentral. Lineage: Eukaryota; Metazoa; Chordata; Aves; Anseriformes; Anatidae.
AGCAGUCUUGUCCUUGAAAGCCAAACAUUUUGCAUGUUCUAGUCAAGUGUAUCCUUCGAAGCCUGACAAGGUCAUGGACACUGUCAGAAGCAGAGACCCAAAACAAGGAAUACAAGAUUAACAAUAGACAGUUUAAAAUGAUAAGAGAUUAAUUUCUUUAGCCUCAAUAACAUUGUCACUUGCAAUUAAUUUUAACUCUGAGCUCAGAAGAGUAUGGAACAGAUACUUUGAAAAUGAAAAUGAAAAACUGAAUCAAGUGCUUUGCUCCUGCUUUUAUUGGCAUAUGUUUUGCACAAAUCAAGAAAGGGGACAAACUUUCAGUGGAUCAGUGAUGUGAAAUCAGCUGAGGUGUUUUGAUAAAAGAGUCUGGAUGAGGUCUCUGAAGUUACUGGUGACAGAGUUGUCUUGAUGGACGCUCCUUGCAUCUGGUAAAUGUUUGUUUUUUGUUUGCUUGUUUGUUUUCUAAGAAGGUGUUUCUAAGAACACCUUAAUGAUGUUUGCAGCAUGAUUUAUUGUAAAGCUGUCCUCUAUAUUCACUUUUUAUCUAAUGAGGCUGAUGGGAAUACAGAUUAAGUUCAAUUUAUUUGACAAUGGUUAGUACAUUUUGCAUAUUUAUAUUAGUACGUUUGCUCCAGAUUUACUAAUGUUUUUAGUAAUUAGACUGUGGUGG